AGUGUAGAGGAGGGUGAGAAUGUCGUGUUCUCUCAGGCAAAUCACUCUUUUCUCGCUGC
RNAcentral lists this microRNA precursor (59 nucleotides) under Sarcophilus harrisii (Tasmanian devil). RNAcentral describes it as "mir-7398 microRNA precursor family". It matches the Rfam family "mir-7398 microRNA precursor family". The record is from Rfam by way of RNAcentral. Lineage: Eukaryota; Metazoa; Chordata; Mammalia; Dasyuromorphia; Dasyuridae.